GAGUGAUCCAAACAGAGCAACUAAACUUGCCGAGAAGUUUUCUGAGCUUUACGAUAAUUCGUGGAACGAUGCAUACGAGGUUCUAGAAAUAUCUGACGAGAAAGAGUGUAUCCAGUACCUGCUUAAUAUAAUAGUCGAAUCAUAUAGCAUGUGUGCGGGUAUUUCAAAUAACCAACAAAGAGCCCUUGCUAGAGCAUUACAUUAUCCAACUGAAGGGUUGAGCAUUAAGACAAUAACAAAUGAGGUGAGUCAUGACAGCGAUCUAAACCUAUCUAAACUCCAGUCAAGAACCUUAUCAGAUUUACGAAAAACAUCAGCUGAAUUGUCGAUUGAGGAUAUGAAAUCG
Molecule: long non-coding RNA, 346 nt
Organism: Ruditapes philippinarum (Manila clam)
Lineage: Eukaryota; Metazoa; Mollusca; Bivalvia; Venerida; Veneridae
Exons: 3
Source: RefSeq, a predicted model, not a curated record